This 235-nucleotide ribosomal RNA is filed under the name uncultured bacterium. Its description in RNAcentral is "partial 16S ribosomal RNA". It matches the Rfam family "Bacterial small subunit ribosomal RNA", at positions 524 to 757 of the family's 1533-position model. The record is from RNAcentral.
UACGAAGGGGGCUAGCGUUGUUCGGAAUUACUGGGCGUAAAGCGCACGUAGGCGGACAUUUUAAGUCAGGGGUGAAAUCCCGGGGCUCAACCCCGGAACGGCCUUUGAUACUGGGUGUCUUGAGUUCGGAAGAGGUGAGUGGAAUUCCGGGUGUAGCGGUGGAAUGCGUAGAGAUGCGGAGGAACACCGAUGGCGAAGGCAGCCCCCUGGGCUAGCACUGACGCUCAGGCACGAA